Molecule: RNase P RNA, 445 nt
Filed under: human gut metagenome
Description: Bacterial RNase P class A
Rfam family: Bacterial RNase P class A
About the family: Ribonuclease P (RNase P) is a ubiquitous endoribonuclease, found in archaea, bacteria and eukarya as well as chloroplasts and mitochondria.
Source: RNAcentral
GGGUCGGACAGUCGCGGGCGCAGCGCCGAAAGGCCGCGCAUGAGGAAAGUCCGGGCUCCGCAGGGCAAGGAUAACGGGUAACGCCCGCCCAGAGCGAUCUGAGGAAAAGUGCAACAGAAAUAAACCGCCGGAGGCCCAGAAAUGGGGCCCCCGCAAAACGAAUGUUUUGUGGGGAGAGGAGGCGCAACGGAAUGACCGAGACCUGCCGCUUGCGGCGGGGCGAGGGAUAUGAAGUUUGCGCCGACGAGGCAAGGGUGGAAAGGUGCGGUAAGAGCGCACCCAAUGGCGUGUGAAAGCGUCCAUUGCUGUAAACUCUAUCCGGAGCAACACCGCAGAGGAAGCAAGGCUUGCCCGGCUGCUUCCGAGAAGGUGGCUGGAGCGCACCGGCAACGGUGCGCCUAGAUAGAUGACUGUCGAUUACAGAACCCGGCUUACAGACCCGAUC